RNAcentral lists this ribosomal RNA (486 nucleotides) under uncultured bacterium. Its description in RNAcentral is "partial 16S ribosomal RNA". It matches the Rfam family "Bacterial small subunit ribosomal RNA", at positions 30 to 507 of the family's 1533-position model. The record is from RNAcentral.
AUUGAACGCUGGCGACAUGCCUUACACAUGCAAGUCGAACGGCAGCACGGGUGCUUGCACCUGGUGGCGAGUGGCGAACGGGUGAGUAAUACAUCGGAACAUGUCCUGUAGUGGGGGAUAGCCCGGCGAAAGCCGGAUUAAUACCGCAUACGAUCUACGGAUUAAAGCGGGGGACCUUCGGGCCUCGCGCUAUAGGGUUGGCCGAUGGCUGAUUAGCUAGUUGGUGGGGUAAAGGCCUACCAAGGCGACGAUCAGUAGCUGGUCUGAGAGGACGACCAGUCACACGGGAACUGGGACACGGCCCAGACUCCUACGGGAGGCAGCAGUGGGGAAUUUUGGACAAUGGGCGAAAGCCUGAUCCAGCAAUGCCGCGUGUGUGAAGAAGGCCUUCGGGUUGUAAAGCACUUUUGUCCGGAAAGAAAUCCUUGGCCCUAAUACGGUCGGGGGAUGACGGUACCGGAAGAAUAAGAACCGGCUAACUACGUG